CUACGGGCCGCUGCAGUAGGGAAUUUUGCGCAAUGGGCGAAAGCCUGACGCAGCAACGCCGCGUGAUCGAUGAAGCUCCUAGGAGUGUAAAGAUCUGUCAUAAGGGAAGAAAAGUUUUAAUAUUAAUAGUAUUAGGAUUUGAUGGUACCUUAUAAGAAAGCACCGGCUAACUUCGUGCCAGCAGCCGCGGUAAUACGAGGGGUGCAAGCGUUGUCCGGAAUCAUUGGGCGUAAAGGGUGCGCAGGCGUCCGAGAAAGUUAUUUGUUAAAUCCUCCGGCUUAACCGGAGUUCUGCAAGUAAAACUACUCGGAUAGAGUUUAAGAGAGGAAAAUGGAAUUCCUGGUGUAGCGGUGACAUGCGUAGAUAUCAGGAGGAACACCUAUGGCGAAGGCAGUUUUCUGGCUUAAAACUGACGCUGAGGCACGAAAGCGUGGGGAGCAAACAGGAUUAGAUACCCCCGUAGUC
Molecule: ribosomal RNA, 465 nt
Filed under: uncultured bacterium
Lineage: Bacteria
Description: partial 16S ribosomal RNA
Rfam family: Bacterial small subunit ribosomal RNA
Source: RNAcentral